RNAcentral lists this ribosomal RNA (352 nucleotides) under Pediococcus pentosaceus. Its description in RNAcentral is "bacterial SSU rRNA". It matches the Rfam family "Bacterial small subunit ribosomal RNA", at positions 1121 to 1470 of the family's 1533-position model. Lineage: Bacteria; Bacillati; Bacillota; Bacilli; Lactobacillales; Lactobacillaceae. The record is from RNAcentral.
GCAAUUAAGUUGGGCACUUAGUGAGACUGCCGGUGACAAACCGGAGGAAGGUGGGGACGACGUCAAAUCAUCAUGCCCCUUAUGACCUGGGCUACACACGUGCUACAAUGGAUGGUACAACGAGUCGCGAGACCGCGAGGUUAAGCUAAUCUCUUAAAACCAUUCUCAGUUCGGACUGUAGGCUGCAACUCGCCUACACGAAGUCGGAAUCGCUAGUAAUCGCGGAUCAGCAUGCCGCGGUGAAUACGUUCCCGGGCCUUGUACACACCGCCCGUCACACCAUGAGAGUUUGUAACACCCAAAGCGCGGUGGGGUUAACCUUUAGGAGCUAGCCGUCUAAAGGUUGGAACAA